CAGUCAGUGACUUGGGAUGAGAGGGGAUUUGGAGCUGGCUGGGGAAAUGGAGGGAGACCCAGGACUGGGGUCUAGGCUCCCUGCCC
Chelonoidis abingdonii (Abingdon island giant tortoise) is the source of this 86-nucleotide non-coding RNA. The record is from RefSeq and is a predicted model, not a curated record. Lineage: Eukaryota; Metazoa; Chordata; Testudines; Testudinidae.